This 469-nucleotide ribosomal RNA is filed under the name uncultured bacterium. RNAcentral's name for it is "bacterial SSU rRNA". It matches the Rfam family "Bacterial small subunit ribosomal RNA", at positions 355 to 822 of the family's 1533-position model. The record is from RNAcentral.
UGGGGAAUUUUGGACAAUGGGGGCAACCCUGAUCCAGCCAUGCCGCGUGAGUGAAGAAGGCCUUCGGGUUGUAAAGCUCUUUCGGACGGGACGAAAUGGUUAGCGUGAAUAACGCUGACUGAUGACGGUACCGUAAUAAGAAGCACCGGCUAACUACGUGCCAGCAGCCGCGGUAAUACGUAGGGUGCGAGCGUUAAUCGGAAUUACUGGGCGUAAAGCGUGCGCAGGCGGUUCGCCAAGUCAGGUGUGAAAUCCCCGGGCUUAACCUGGGAAUUGCGCUUGAAACUAGCGGGCUUGAGUGUGGCAGAGGGGGGUGGAAUUCCACGUGUAGCAGUGAAAUGCGUAGAUAUGUGGAGGAAUACCGAUGGCGAAGGCAGCCCCCUGGGAUAACACUGACGCUCAUGCACGAAAGCGUGGGGAGCAAACAGGAUUAGAUACCCUUGUAGUCCCUGAGCGGGCUGGCAAGGCG